Molecule: small RNA, 123 nt
Filed under: Moellerella wisconsensis
Lineage: Bacteria; Pseudomonadati; Pseudomonadota; Gammaproteobacteria; Enterobacterales; Morganellaceae
Also listed under: 1 other name
Description: Fumarate/nitrate reductase regulator sRNA
Rfam family: Fumarate/nitrate reductase regulator sRNA
Source: RNAcentral
GCAGGUGAAUGCAACGUUGAGCGAUGAACGUUGUGCUCCAUAAUUGUAGUUUUUCUCAUGUUGAGUUUUUAUACAGAAUAAUAAAUCACUGUAAUGCCGAUGUUAUCUCAGACAUCGGUUUUU